Molecule: ribosomal RNA, 826 nt
Filed under: Mammaliicoccus sciuri
Lineage: Bacteria; Bacillati; Bacillota; Bacilli; Caryophanales; Staphylococcaceae
Description: bacterial SSU rRNA
Rfam family: Bacterial small subunit ribosomal RNA
Source: RNAcentral
AAGUCGAGCGACAGAUGAGAAGCUUGCUUCUCUGAUGUUAGCGGCGGACGGGUGAGUAACACGUGGGUAACCUACCUAUAAGACUGGGAUAACUCCGGGAAACCGGGGCUAAUACCGGAUAAUAUUUUGAACCGCAUGGUUCAAUAGUGAAAGACGGUUUCGGCUGUCACUUAUAGAUGGACCCGCGCCGUAUUAGCUAGUUGGUAAGGUAACGGCUUACCAAGGCGACGAUACGUAGCCGACCUGAGAGGGUGAUCGGCCACACUGGAACUGAGACACGGUCCAGACUCCUACGGGAGGCAGCAGUAGGGAAUCUUCCGCAAUGGGCGAAAGCCUGACGGAGCAACGCCGCGUGAGUGAUGAAGGUCUUCGGAUCGUAAAACUCUGUUGUUAGGGAAGAACAAAUUUGUUAGUAACUGAACAAGUCUUGACGGUACCUAACCAGAAAGCCACGGCUAACUACGUGCCAGCAGCCGCGGUAAUACGUAGGUGGCAAGCGUUAUCCGGAAUUAUUGGGCGUAAAGCGCGCGUAGGCGGUUUCUUAAGUCUGAUGUGAAAGCCCACGGCUCAACCGUGGAGGGUCAUUGGAAACUGGGAAACUUGAGUGCAGAAAAGGGAGAGUGGAAUUCCAUGGUGUAGCGGGUGAAAAUGCGCAGAGAUAUGGAGGAACACCCGGUGGCGAAAGGCGGGCUCUCUGGUCUCGAACUGACGCUAAUGUGCGAAAGCGUGAGGGAUCAAACCGAUUUAGAUACCCCGGGUGUCCCCCCCUGUAACGAUGUGUGCUGAGUGUUUAGGGGGGUUUCCCCCCCUUUGUGGCUGGCAGCGA